Non-coding RNA from Mycena metata, 116 nucleotides. Lineage: Eukaryota; Fungi; Basidiomycota; Agaricomycetes; Agaricales; Mycenaceae. The record is from the annotation of a GenBank genome assembly.
GGGCACAUGGUGUAGUUGGUUAUCACGCUCGCUUAGCACGGACAGAUUGGGAAUUCUAGCCAAUUCCUUCGUAAGCGGUCUGCGAGAGGUGUUGGGUUCAAUUCCCAAUGUGUCCA